Molecule: ribosomal RNA, 291 nt
Filed under: uncultured soil bacterium
Lineage: Bacteria
Description: partial 16S ribosomal RNA
Rfam family: Bacterial small subunit ribosomal RNA
Source: RNAcentral
AGAACGAACGCUGGCGGCAUGCCUAAUACAUGCAAGUCGAACGAAGCUUCGGCGUUAGUGGCGCACGGGUGCGUAACGCGUGGGAAUCUGCCCCUUGGUUCGGAAUAACAGUUGGAAACGACUGCUAAUACCGGAUGAUGACGAAAGUCCAAAGAUUUAUCGCCAAGGGAUGAGCCCGCGUAGGAUUAGCUAGUUGGUGAGGUAAAGGCUCACCAAGGCAACGAUCCUUAGCUGGUCUGAGAGGAUGAUCAGCCACACUGGGACUGAGACACGGCCCAGACUCCUACGGGA